This 85-nucleotide transfer RNA is filed under the name Felis catus (domestic cat). It matches the Rfam family "tRNA". From Rfam's summary of the family: Transfer RNA (tRNA) molecules are approximately 80 nucleotides in length. Their secondary structure includes four short double-helical elements and three loops (D, anti-codon, and T loops). Further hydrogen bonds mediate the characteristic L-shaped molecular structure. tRNAs have two regions of fundamental functional importance: the anti-codon, which is responsible for specific mRNA codon recognition, and the 3' end, to which the tRNAs corresponding amino acid is attached (by aminoacyl-tRNA synthetases). tRNAs cope with the degeneracy of the genetic code in two manners: having more than one tRNA (with a specific anti-codon) for a particular amino acid; and 'wobble' base-pairing, i.e. permitting non-standard base-pairing at the 3rd anti-codon position. Lineage: Eukaryota; Metazoa; Chordata; Mammalia; Carnivora; Felidae. The record is from Rfam by way of RNAcentral.
GCCUAGGUGGCUCAGUCGGUUGAGUAUCAGACUUUGGCUCAGGUCAUGAUUUCAUGGUUCGUGGGUUCGAGUCCUGCUUUGGGCU